CAGGUUUCAUCGGGGAGCUUCACUGCAGAGAGCGGCACGCAAACAUGCUUCCUCAGGCGAAGUAGGGCAAGCCAGACAACAGUGAGCCUUCCGCCAUCUAGUAUGCUUUCGUUCACAUUGUCUGAACUGGAAACAGAGUUUCCAGAAGGCAGCUAGAGUGGAAGUGCAGAGCUGCUGUCCCCGGUACAGGUUCCCCUGCAACUUGUGGGUUUGCCAAGGUCUGACAGUCUUCCACUGAGAGACAGGUGUGACAGAUCCAGCUCCCAUAUCUGGCGCUCUGCUCCAGUACUGGGGGACAUCACAGCUGAAUUCAUCAUACCCGUAAUACAGCAGCUCCUGUUGGUCAGCAUUGGUGAAAGUGAAGGCUGCAGAGUGGCAACUUUUGAGUCUAGGCAGACCACUCUGAGGUAGCAGCACUCAGAACUAAGCACUUGUGCGACGAACGCGAAGUGCACAUACAACAUUGCGAAGGCGCACUCAGCAGGACGGUGGACACGAGCAUUUCGGAACCAGCGUCAGCAAACAGAGAAGUGCCAAACCAGGACCUACCGGAGCAGGGCCCAGCAAGCAUGAUCAGCAUCUACGCAUGACCUGCUGCAAAGGAAUGUGCGAAAGAGUGAAUUGGAGCAGCAAGCUUGCAAGAGCAAGCUAGAGCCGCAGAACUUGCUGAGCAUUUGCAGCACUGAGAGAUGUAUGCCAUCAGCUGUUAGAUAGUUUUAGCAACCUCACUGAUAUGAUGAAGCAAACUGAACAAAUGAAGCCAAUACUGCUACUGAAUGAACUGAUGCAAAUUGAGAUACUCUUACGUAUAUUGCUCCAGGUGCAUUGGUCUUCAAUCUAGUUAAUGACACCCUAACAUUGUGGCAUACCUCAAAGUCCCGGGGGACAGAGGAAUAAGUAGUAGGGAAUAAAAGUUAAUAG
Ornithodoros turicata is the source of this 921-nucleotide long non-coding RNA. RefSeq lists it as uncharacterized. The record is from RefSeq and is a predicted model, not a curated record. Lineage: Eukaryota; Metazoa; Arthropoda; Arachnida; Ixodida; Argasidae. The transcript is spliced from 3 exons.